UAGGGAAUCUUCCGCAAUGGACGAAAGUCUGACGGAGCAACGCCGCGUGAGUGAAGAAGGUUUUCGGAUCGUAAAACUCUGUUGUCAGAGAAGAACAAGUCGGAGAGUAACUGCUCCGGCCUUGACGGUAUCUGACCAGAAAGCCACGGCUAACUACGUGCCAGCAGCCGCGGUAAUACGUAGGUGGCAAGCGUUGUCCGGAUUUAUUGGGCGUAAAGCGAGCGCAGGCGGUUCCUUAAGUCUGAUGUGAAAGCCCACGGCUCAACCGUGGAAGGUCAUUGGAAACUGGGGAACUUGAGUGCAGAAGAGGAGAGUGGAAUUCCAUGUGUAGCGGUGAAAUGCGUAGAUAUAUGGAGGAACACCAGUGGCGAAGGCGACUCUCUGGUCUGUAACUGACGCU
Molecule: ribosomal RNA, 400 nt
Filed under: uncultured bacterium
Lineage: Bacteria
Description: bacterial SSU rRNA
Rfam family: Bacterial small subunit ribosomal RNA
Source: RNAcentral